Molecule: long non-coding RNA, 713 nt
Filed under: Eutrema salsugineum
Lineage: Eukaryota; Viridiplantae; Streptophyta; Magnoliopsida; Brassicales; Brassicaceae
Description: long non-coding RNA (ESAL_LNC001003)
Source: RNAcentral
UCCACCACCACCAUACUACUACCACUCUCCUCCUCCUCCAGUCAAAUCACCACCGCCACCGUACUACUACCACUCCCCGCCUCCUCCGGUGAAAUCCCCACCACCACCAUAUUACUACCACUCACCACCUCCACCGGUGAAAUCUCCACCACCACCAUACUAUUACCACUCACCACCUCCUCCGGUGAAGUCUCCUCCACCACCAUACUACUAUCACUCUCCACCACCACCGGUGAAAUCUCCUCCUCCUUACUAUUAUCAUUCUCCACCUCCUCCGGUGAAAUCUCCUCCACCACCGUACUACUACCAUUCUCCACCUCCUCCAGUCAAGUCUCCACCACCACCGUACUACUAUCAUUCACCACCUCCUCCGGUGAAAUCUCCACCACCACCAUACUAUUACCACUCACCACCCCCACCUGUGAAAUCUCCUCCUCCACCAUACUACUAUCACUCACCUCCUCCUCCGGUGAAAUCUCCACCACCACCAUACUAUUACCAUUCACCACCCCCUCCAGUCAAAUCUCCUCCUCCACCAUACUACUACCACUCACCACCUCCUCCAGUGAAAUCUCCACCACCACCAUACUAUUACAACUCUCCACCACCACCGGUGAAAUCUCCUCCACCUCCAGUCUACAUCUACGCUUCUCCCCCACCUCCCACCCAUUACUAGGCUCAUCAAAUUCAACCAAAUUUCCCCAUUAUUCAAG